UUGGGAAUCGUACGCAAUGGGCGCAAGCCUGACGUCGCGACACCGCGUGGAGGAAGAAGGCUCUCGGGUUGUAAACUCCUUUUGUCAGGGACGAUUAUGACGGUACCUGGCGAAUAAGCACCGGCUAACUACGUGCCAGCAGCCGCGGUAAUACGUAGGGUGCAAGCGUUAUCCGGAAUUAUUGGGCGUAAAGAGCGCGUAGGCUGUUUGGGAAGUUGCCCGUUAAAUCUCCAGGCUCAACUUGGAGCAUGCAGGCAAAACUCCCAGACUAGAGGAUAGCAGGGGCAAGCGGAAUUCCCGGUGUAGGAGUGAAAUCCGUUGAUAUCGGGAGGAACACCAAUGGCGAAGGCAGCUUGCUAGGCUAUUUCUAACGCUGAGGCGCGAAAGCGUGGGUAGCGAACGGG
Molecule: ribosomal RNA, 404 nt
Filed under: uncultured bacterium
Lineage: Bacteria
Description: bacterial SSU rRNA
Rfam family: Bacterial small subunit ribosomal RNA
Source: RNAcentral